Long non-coding RNA from Lucilia cuprina (Australian sheep blowfly), 499 nucleotides. RefSeq lists it as uncharacterized. The record is from RefSeq and is a predicted model, not a curated record. NCBI's taxonomy places the organism in Eukaryota, Metazoa, Arthropoda, Insecta, Diptera, Calliphoridae. The transcript is spliced from 2 exons.
UAUUUUUUGGAAUACAUUUUUUUUAUUUUAAAUACCGGAAUUUCGGUGUUUAUAUAUACAACAUGAGAAAACUGGUAACGGUUUUUUAGAAAGAUUUAAAUCUAUAUAGUUUCAAAAAUUUGUACCUAAAUAUUUAGCCGCUCAAUCAUUCUUACUGUAGCGUACUUAAGGAACCACCAUAAUCCCGCAUUAAAUAUUACUCCUCUAUUAGCUUAAUGAAAAUAAAAGCUUUUAAUAAUGAAGCAAUAACUUAAAAAAGCUUUUAAUAUUAUAAAAAACAAAACAACAAAGCAAAUAAAGAUGAAUAAAGAAAAUGUAAAGAACAAAAUGUUAUCAACAGUAAUCAACAGUUGUUUGGGAACGUAGCAUCUCAUGAAUAGCCGGCUGGUUUAAUUCCAUAAAGUUGACGCUAAAUAUUUAGUAACAAAAAAAGUCAAAUUGUUUUUGCUGCAACAAUGAGUUCUGUAAAAGUACCCUACGUAAUCCACAAUAAUGGCAC